This 129-nucleotide non-coding RNA is filed under the name Phascolarctos cinereus (koala). Lineage: Eukaryota; Metazoa; Chordata; Mammalia; Diprotodontia; Phascolarctidae. The record is from RNAcentral.
AUUAAAAAAGAGAGAGAGAGAGGGUUAGCAUUUCCCUUGAUCAGGAGGAAAAAUGUUCUAGUGACUUUUACAAUACAUAUAUAAUUAAGGCAUUGCCACCUACCCUAUAGCAUCCAACUGUGCUAUGAU